AUGGAGGAGGGCCUGGUGAGCGCGGCGACGGGGGCGCUGCAGCCCGCCCUGGCAAAGUUGGCCGCUGUGCUCAGCGACGAGUACAAGGGGGUGCGCGGCGAGGUCGAGCACCUCACCCGCGAGCUCGCCGAUAUGGACGCGUUCCUCCUCGCCAAGUCGUCGUCGUCGUCGGAUCUCAUUCCCAGUGAGCUGGACAAGGCCUGCAUGCACGAGAUCCGGGAGCUGUCCUACGACAUCGACGACGACCUCGACGACUUCAUCAUGGCUAGCGUCUGCGACAAAUCCGCCAAGCUGGCCGGACUCUUGGACGAGAUGAAGGCCAUGCUGGGCCGGACCAAGGCUCGUCACCAGAUCACCAAGGCCGUCGAUGAUCUCAAGGAGCAGGUGGUCCACGUUGCCGAGAGGCACACCCACAAGAGGUCCAAGGUUGAUCACAGGGCUCCCACCGUCGUCGACGACGCGUCCAAGCUCGUCGGUCUUGAUGGGCCCAAGCAAGAGCUCAUCCAACUACUCGCCGGUUCGGUCGAGUCAACGCAGCAGCAGCAACCGCACCCAAACUUGGUGGCUGUUGUUGGAUCCGGAGGAACGGGGAAGACAACCCUCGCAAACCAAGUGUACCAAAAGCUCAAAGGCCAACUCGAUUGCCAUGCUUUCUGUUCCGUGCGACGGAAUGCAGACAAGGUCCAGGUUUUGCACUCCAUUUACAAUCAGCUCUAUUCUUCUUACAAUAACCUCGGCCGUCGAUCUUCUCCUCGUCCUGGCGUGAGGGAUUUGCCCGGACUUAUCACCAUGAUUUCAAACUACCUCCAACACAGAAGGUGUAUUAUUGUACUUGAUGAUAUAUGGGAUGUGGAAAUAUUGAAGGUUAUUGAGUGUGCAUUUCCCACAGCCAGUUCUGGUAGUAAAAUAAUAAUCACUACUCGUAUACAUGCCGUCGCUCAAUCAUGUUGUUCAACUUUCAGCGGACAUGUAUACAAUAUAAGGCCUCUUAGUAUGGUGCAUUCGAGGCAAUUAUUCUAUACAAGACUAUUCAACUCUGAAGAAAAAUGUCCAUCAUACCUCAAAGAGAUUUCUGGUCAGAUCUUGGAUAAAUGUGCUGGCUUACCUUUGGCAAUCAUAGCUAUGUCUAGUGUGUUGGCUGAUAAGGCAAGUGAAAAGGAAAUAUGGGACCAAGUGAAGGAUUUAAUUGGUCGUGCACUAAGAAAUUCUAGCGUCGAAGACAUGGUAAACAUAAUAUCCCUUAGUUACUUGGAUCUUCCUCCUCAUCUUAAAACAUGUCUACUAUACCUGAGUAUAUUUCCAGAGGGGCACAUUAUUGAGAAGGAGAAUUUGAUAAGGAGGUGGAUUGGCGAGGGAUUCAUUCAGAAAAAAUCUGGUUAUACAGUAUAUGAGUCAGGAGAGAUGUGUUUCAAUGAUCUCAUCAACAGGAGUUUGAUCCAGGCUGCGAAGAUGGAUGAGACAUUUGGUGACGAGGUGAAGAGUUGUCGUGUUCAUGACACCGUUCAUAAUUUCAUCGUAUCUAAGGCUGUUGAAGAGAACUUUGUUACUAUAGUAGGUGUACUUGGUGUUAUAAAUCCUGAUCCCAAGGCCAAGAUUCGUCGAGUGUCCCUACAAAAUGAUGGCGAGAUUCCUCCGAGUCUUGAUGUGUCUAGUGCCCGAUCACUCCAUGUGUUUGGUCGUAAUGGGAAGAUCCCAUCUUUGUCGGAGUUUCGACUCUUGCGUGUUCUGGACUUUGAGGAUUGUUCACAGUUAGAAGAUGAUCACCUUGAGGGUAUUGCAAAUUUGGUUCACCUCAAGUACUUGAGGUUUAAACAUGCCAAAGCCGUGACGAAGAUUCCAGAACAGGUGGCAAUGCUGCAUCAUUUAGAGAUUGACGUGAAAGGAUAUAGCAAACUAAUGGAAAUACCUAUGACCAUCCAAGAAAGGUUGGUCUGUUAUGUAACUCUACAUGUCGAUGGUUAUGAAACAGUACCGGAUGAAAUCGCAGCCAUGCAGGGAUUGCGAGUGUUGGAAGGUCUCAAUAUUUAUACUCAGUCAACGGAAUUUCUAAAGAGGCUUGGCCAACUGAAAAAACUGAGGAAGCUGGGCAUAAUAUGGAACAUGUAUGAUAUGAGUAAUUGUGAUGUUAAUGAAGAUAAAGAGGAGGAGGAGGUCGAGGAGGACGAGGAGGAGUUUCUCUCUUCCAUAUGUGAGCUCGGCAAAGCAGGCCUUGAGUCUUUGCACAUCUCUGUGAAGGAAGCAGCGGAUGCGUAUUUCAAGCUUUCAUGGUUUCCCGAUCCUCAGUGUGGCCUUCGUGAGCUUAUCAUCAUGGGGGACUCCCUCUCGGAGGUUCCAACAUGGGUGGCCUCGCUCGUCAACCUUGAGAAGCUAUGCAUCACAAUGCGAGUGAUCAAUGAGAGAGACAUGGAGAUACUAAGAGGCUUGCCCAGCUUGCGCCAUCUUCGCAUUUAUGCGGAUGAGGAUGAUGUGUCUGAGUCGCGGGCUGCUAUGGAGAAAGCAAUGGAGGAACAUCCUAACCGUCCCACCUUGGUUUGGUAUGAGUAUUAA
This 2547-nucleotide ribosomal RNA is filed under the name Triticum aestivum (bread wheat). Its description in RNAcentral is "partial small subunit ribosomal RNA". Lineage: Eukaryota; Viridiplantae; Streptophyta; Magnoliopsida; Poales; Poaceae. The record is from RNAcentral.